UACCAGCUCUCCGAGUGGUGUGGAUGUUUAUUGGGCCUAAAGCAUCCAUAGCUGGCCAAGUUAGUCCCCUGUUAAAUCCACCGAAUUAAUCGUUGGAGUGCGGGGAUACUGCUUGGCUUGGGGACGAGAGAGGCCGACGGUAUUUUCGGGGUAGGGUGAAAUCCUAUAAUCCCGGGAAGACCACCAGUGGCGAAGGCUGCCGGCUAGAACGCGCCCGACGGUGAGGGAUGAAAGCUGGGGGAGCGAACCGGAUUAGAUACCCGGGUAGUCCCAGCUGUAAACGAUGCAGGCUAGGUGUUUGGGCGGCCACGGGCCGCUCUAGUGCCGCAGGGAAGCUGUUAAGCCUGCCGCCUGGGGAGUACGGCCGCAAGGCUGAAACUUAAGGAAUUGGCGGGGAGCACCACAAGGGGUGAGGCUUGCGGUUU
Molecule: ribosomal RNA, 425 nt
Filed under: uncultured archaeon
Lineage: Archaea
Description: bacterial SSU rRNA
Rfam family: Archaeal small subunit ribosomal RNA
Source: RNAcentral